This 336-nucleotide ribosomal RNA is filed under the name Hemiplecta salangana. Its description in RNAcentral is "partial large subunit ribosomal RNA". The record is from RNAcentral. Lineage: Eukaryota; Metazoa; Mollusca; Gastropoda; Stylommatophora; Ariophantidae.
AAGGUAGCAUAAUAAAUUGACUUUUAAUUGAAGCCUUGAAUGAAAGGAUAAAUGAGUAAUUACUAUAUUAUAUUAAUUUAUUAUAAUUUAUUUAAAAGGUGAAAAUCCCUUUAUUAUAUAUAAUAGACGAGAAGACCCUAGGAGUUUAUAAAAAUUUAUUUUGUUGGGGCAACAUUAUAGCAUUUAAUCUAUAAUUAUAAAUUAAUGAAACGAGAAUUUCUAAUAAUAAUUAAACUACCCUAGGGAUAACAGCAUAAAGUUUGUGACCUCGAUGUUGGACUAGGGAAUUUAAAGUUAACAGCGUUAAAUGAUAGUUCUGUUCGAACUUAUUUACCU